This 253-nucleotide ribosomal RNA is filed under the name uncultured bacterium. Its description in RNAcentral is "partial 16S ribosomal RNA". It matches the Rfam family "Bacterial small subunit ribosomal RNA", at positions 524 to 776 of the family's 1533-position model. The record is from RNAcentral.
UACGGAGGGUGCAAGCGUUGUUCGGAAUUACUGGGCGUAAAGCGCGUGUAGGCGGCCCUGCAAGUCGGGUGUGAAAGCCCGGGGCUUACCCCCGGAAGGGCACUGGAUACUGGGAGACUAGAGUACCGGAGAGGAAGGUGGAAUUCCUGGUGUAGCGGUGAAAUGCGUAGAUAUCAGGAGGAACACCGGUGGCGAAGGCGCUCAUCUGGCCCAAUACUGACGCUGAGGCGCGAAAGCUAGGGGAGCAAACGGG